Long non-coding RNA from Hyaena hyaena (striped hyena), 307 nucleotides. RefSeq lists it as uncharacterized. The record is from RefSeq and is a predicted model, not a curated record. Lineage: Eukaryota; Metazoa; Chordata; Mammalia; Carnivora; Hyaenidae. The transcript has 3 exons.
CUUCAAGUAAUUCAUCAAUUAUAGUUUCCUAACUCACCUGCCACUGCUUUCCACAGAGAUUUCUGCUAGUGGGUCAUCAUUCUGGGUAAAAAAAAAAGUCAUUUUGGCCUGAACUUGAAGGAAUUCUGAGGCCGUUAUACCAGGUGGAAGAAAUAGCUAGCAUCUGGGAGAAAGAAAUUAGAAAUAAUUAAGAUGAGUCAACAUCUGUACACAAAGGAUAGCGACCAUUCAGCAAGGCUGCCGCUGUUUCCUAUGGUGAAGUACUGAAAAUGUCAGCAGGACUUAACACAGAGGUGAACUCUACAUU